GGGAUUGUGGCUCAGUGGUAGAGCUCAUGCCUAGCAUGUGUGAGGCACUGGGUUCGAUCCCCAGCACCA
Molecule: transfer RNA, 69 nt
Filed under: Ictidomys tridecemlineatus (thirteen-lined ground squirrel)
Lineage: Eukaryota; Metazoa; Chordata; Mammalia; Rodentia; Sciuridae
Description: Spermophilus tridecemlineatus (thirteen-lined ground squirrel) tRNA
Rfam family: tRNA
About the family: Transfer RNA (tRNA) molecules are approximately 80 nucleotides in length. Their secondary structure includes four short double-helical elements and three loops (D, anti-codon, and T loops).
Source: Rfam by way of RNAcentral